Molecule: ribosomal RNA, 253 nt
Filed under: uncultured bacterium
Lineage: Bacteria
Description: partial 16S ribosomal RNA
Rfam family: Bacterial small subunit ribosomal RNA
Source: RNAcentral
UACGGGGGGAGCAAGCGUUGUUCGGAUUUACUGGGCGUAAAGGGCGCGUAGGCGGCGCAACAAGUCACUUGUGAAAUCUCCGGGCUUAACCCGGAGCGGCCAAGUGAUACUGUCGUGCUAGAGUGCGGAAGGGGCUACUGGAAUUCUCGGUGUAGCGGUGAAAUGCGCAGAUAUCGGGAGGAACACCAAUGUCGAAGGCAGCUCGCUGGGACGUUACUGACGCUGAGACGCGAAAGCGUGGGGAGCAAACAGG